RNAcentral lists this ribosomal RNA (429 nucleotides) under Verrucomicrobiota bacterium. RNAcentral describes it as "Verrucomicrobia bacterium partial 16S ribosomal RNA". It matches the Rfam family "Bacterial small subunit ribosomal RNA", at positions 355 to 776 of the family's 1533-position model. Lineage: Bacteria; Pseudomonadati; Verrucomicrobiota. The record is from RNAcentral.
UAGGGAAUCUUCGGCAAUGGGGGGAACCCUGACCGAGCAACGCCGCGUGAGUGAAGAAGGUUUUCGGAUCGUAAAGCUCUGUUGUUAAGGAAGAACGAGUGUGAGAAUGGAAAGUUCAUGCUGUGACGGUACUUAACCAGAAAGGGACGGCUAACUACGUGCCAGCAGCCGCGGUAAUACGUAGGUCCCGAGCGUUGUCCGGAUUUAUUGGGCGUAAAGCGAGCGCAGGCGGUUAGAAAAGUCUGAAGUGAAAGGCAGUGGCUCAACCAUUGUAGGCUUUGCAAACUGUUUAACUUGAGUGCAGAAGGGGAGAGUGGAAUUCCAUGUGUAGCGGUGAAAUGCGUAGAUAUAUGGAGGAACACCGGUGGCGAAAGCGGCUCUCUGGUCUGUAACUGACGCUGAGGCUCGAAAGCGUGGGGAGCGAACAGG